RNAcentral lists this long non-coding RNA (1128 nucleotides) under Oryctolagus cuniculus (rabbit). RNAcentral describes it as "lncRNA (ENSOCUG00000033101.1)". Lineage: Eukaryota; Metazoa; Chordata; Mammalia; Lagomorpha; Leporidae. The record is from RNAcentral.
AUGAGACUUGGCCAAUCCAGAGGUUGGGACUCAAAAUGUCCCCUGCCCUCCCUCCUAAAGAAUUUGAAACAACUGCGACUAGCCCAGGACCUAUGGCGUAAAUGCCACAUCUUCUACUCCACCCAGACAUGGCCUAAUUACAUACUUGCCAACGAAUCUAAGUGGCUCCCUGAUGGAACCUUUGAUCCCAAUGUCCUCACUGACCUUGACAAUUUCUGCCACAGGGAAAGAAAAUUGUCAGAGGUCCCACAUGUCCAGGCUUUCUGGGACCUCCGCUCCCACCCUAUUCUCCUCUCCUGCUGUUCCACAGCCCAGGUCUUGCUGGCCAGGACCAGGCCCCCACCUUCUAAGGACGCCUCUUCAAUGCUACUGCCAAACUCUCCACCCUCCACCUUUUUGGACCCUCCUGAGUUCCUGGGGACCCCACUGCUGGCCAAGAACCUCCUGCCCCCAUACAUGCAUUCUUCUGCCCCACCACCAUCUUCUGCCCCACCCUCUGCCGCUCCGCUGCCAUCUCCUGUCCUGCCACCAUCUUUUCCAUCUUUUAUCCAGCUACCCCCUGAAACCAGUCCUUCAUCUAACCCCACUUUCACCAUAACCCGUGAUGAACCCCUUUCCCCAUUACCUAUGACAGGCACCCACGUGAUAUUGCCAUUGCCCAUAAGUGUGUGCACGCGGUCACAUGACCAGAAGCCCUCUUCCCACUUCGAGAGGUGUCUGGGGCUGAGAGUAUUGUGCGUGUCCAUGUUCCAUUCAUGCUACAAGACCUUGUACAGAUUGAGCAAAGACUGGGGUCCUUUUCAGAAAAUUCAACUAGGUUCAUCAAAGAGUUUAGAUACCUUUCUCAAACAUACGACCUCACCUGGAAAGACCUUGGUAUUACCCUUUCCUCCUCUCUUGCUUCUGAGGAAUGGGUACAGGUCCAACAGGCUGCCGGAGAUGAGGCUGACAAGGCUCGAUUAUCUGAUCCCACUCUCCCACCAGGAGCCCAGGCGGUACCAGAGGUGGAGCCAGGAUGGGGCUACCGGGAAGGACAGCAGGAAGACAAAACGUUGCCAAUAUGAUAAGAUACUUUUUGGCCGGCAUGCACACAGUCUCCCACAGGUGAUCAAUUCUGAUAGACUUUGA